CUACGGGUCGCAGCAGUGAGGAAUAUUGCACAAUGGGGGGAACCCUGAUGCAGCAACGCCGCGUGGAGGAUGACGCAUUUCGGUGUGUAAACUCCUUUUAUAUGUCAAGAAAAUGACGGUAGCAUAUGAAUAAGCACCGGCUAACUCCGUGCCAGCAGCCGCGGUAAUACGGAGGGUGCAAGCGUUACUCGGAAUCACUGGGCGUAAAGGACGCGUAGGCGGGUUGGAAAGUCAGGUGUGAAAUCCUACAGCUUAACUGUAGAACUGCACUUGAAACUUCUAAUCUAGAGUAUGGGAGGGGGAGAUGGAAUUAGUGGUGUAGGGGUAAAAUCCGUAGAUAUCACUAGGAAUACCGAAAGCGAAGGCGAUCUGCUGGAACAUUACUGACGCUAAGGCGUGAAAGCGUGGGGAGCAAACGGGAUUAGAUACCCCGGUAGUC
RNAcentral lists this ribosomal RNA (439 nucleotides) under uncultured bacterium. RNAcentral describes it as "partial 16S ribosomal RNA". It matches the Rfam family "Bacterial small subunit ribosomal RNA", at positions 339 to 795 of the family's 1533-position model. The record is from RNAcentral.